AAUAGCCUAUGGGGGGCAGCAGUGGGGGAUAUUGGACAAUGGGGGAAACCCUGAUCCAGCGACGCCGCGUGAGUGAAGAAGUAUUUCGGUAUGUAAAGCUCUGUCAGCAGGGAAGAAAGAAAUGACGGUACCUGACCAAGAAGCCCCGGCUAACUACGUGCCAGCAGCCGCGGUAAUACGUAGGGGGCAAGCGUUAUCUGGAAUUACUGGGUGUAAAGGGAGCGUAGACGGUGAUGCAAGUCUGGAGUGAAAGGCGGGGGCCCAACCCCCGGACUGCUCUGGAAACUGUAUGACUUGAGUGCAGG
This 305-nucleotide ribosomal RNA is filed under the name uncultured bacterium. Its description in RNAcentral is "partial 16S ribosomal RNA". It matches the Rfam family "Bacterial small subunit ribosomal RNA", at positions 333 to 652 of the family's 1533-position model. The record is from RNAcentral.